This 281-nucleotide unclassified non-coding RNA is filed under the name uncultured Chaetothyriales. Its description in RNAcentral is "sequence contains 5.8S rRNA gene, ITS2, 28S rRNA gene". The stretch from base 1 to 52 matches the Rfam family "5.8S ribosomal RNA", at positions 103 to 154 of the family's 154-position model. Lineage: Eukaryota; Fungi; Ascomycota; Eurotiomycetes; Chaetothyriales. The record is from RNAcentral.
AACGCACAUUGCGCCCAUUGGUAUUCCGAUGGGCAUGCCUGUUCGAGCGUCAUUAUCCUCCUUCAAACCUUGGGUUUGGUGUUGGACCGAAGUUGGUUGGCUCAACCAACUGGUCUCAAAGAUAAUGACGGCUCCGUGGGGACCCUCUUCGCAACGAGCUUUCCGGAGCACGCGUCGAGUCUCAAGGACCCCCCGGACCGGUCGCACCUGUCGAGACGGCACCCCCGUCUCGCUCUUGUAAGGUUGACCUCGGAUCAGGUAGGAAUACCCGCUGAACUUAA